Peromyscus maniculatus bairdii (prairie deer mouse) is the source of this 460-nucleotide non-coding RNA. NCBI's taxonomy places the organism in Eukaryota, Metazoa, Chordata, Mammalia, Rodentia, Cricetidae. The record is from the annotation of a RefSeq genome assembly.
GUGACCCUAUGAGUUUAGAGUUGAGAAUCUGAAUCUUCAGUGAAGAGGGAGGAAGAGAGGAUGAAACCCUUGAUUGUUUCUGUAGUGGUGCUGUGGCUUCAGUUAAACUGGGUGAGCAGCCAGCAGAAGGUGCAACAGAACCAGGAAUCCCUCAGUGUCCCAGAGGGAGCCAUGGUCUCUCUCAACUGCACUUACAAGUGAUCAAAAUUCUCAGUACUUUUGGUGGUACAGGCAGCAUUCUGGGAAAAGCCCCAAGGCACUGAUGUCCAUCUUCUCCAAUGGUGAGAAGGAAGAAGGCAGAUUCACAGUUCACCUCAACAAAGCCAGCCGGCAUGUUUCCCUGCACAUCAGAGACUCCCAGCCCAGUGACUCAGCUGUCUACCUUUGUGCAGUGAGCACACAGUGCCCCCCAGGCACCUGCAGCCUGCACCCAAACCUACUGGGCCUGUCAAGGCUUUAG